AGAGUUUGAUCAUGGCUCAGGACGAACGCUGGCGGCGUGCUUAACACAUGCAAGUCGAACGGAAAGGCCCUUCGGGGUACUCGAGUGGCGAACGGGUGAGUAACACGUGGGUGAUCUGCCCUGCACUUUGGGAUAAGCCUGGGAAACUGGGUCUAAUACCGAAUAGGACCGCAUGCUUCAUGGUGUGUGGUGGAAAGCUUUUGCGGUGUGGGAUGGGCCCGCGGCCUAUCAGCUUGUUGGUGGGGUAAUGGCCUACCAAGGCGACGACGGGUAGCCGGCCUGAGAGGGUGUCCGGCCACACUGGGACUGAGAUACGGCCCAGACUCCUACGGGAGGCAGCAGUGGGGAAUAUUGCACAAUGGGCGCAAGCCUGAUGCAGCGACGCCGCGUGGGGGAUGACGGCCUUCGGGUUGUAAACCUCUUUCAGUAUCGGCGAAGCUCCAGGAUUUUUCUUGGGGUGACGGUAGGUACAGAAGAAGCACCGGCCAACUACGUGCCAGCAGCCGCGGUAAUACGUAGGGUGCGAGCGUUGUCCGGAAUUACUGGGCGUAAAGAGCUCGUAGGUGGUUUGUCACGUUGUCCGUGAAAACUCACAGCUUAACUGUGGGCGUGCGGGCGAUACGGGCAGACUGGAGUACUGUAGGGGAGACUGGAAUUCCUGGUGUAGCGGUGGAAUGCGCAGAUAUCAGGAGGAACACCGGUGGCGAAGGCGGGUCUCUGGGCAGUAACUGACGCUGAGGAGCGAAAGCGUGGGGAGCGAACAGGAUUAGAUACCCCGGUAGUCCAA
Molecule: ribosomal RNA, 787 nt
Filed under: uncultured bacterium
Lineage: Bacteria
Description: bacterial SSU rRNA
Rfam family: Bacterial small subunit ribosomal RNA
Source: RNAcentral